Molecule: long non-coding RNA, 809 nt
Filed under: Gallus gallus (chicken)
Lineage: Eukaryota; Metazoa; Chordata; Aves; Galliformes; Phasianidae
Description: lncRNA (ENSGALG00010012901.1)
Source: RNAcentral
CUCAGCUGUAGCGAGUGGCUUUGGAAAGCAGGGACAUGUGGGGCAGUCAAGAGUGCAGGGGAGCACUAAUAACCUUAGUUAAUUACCAGGACUUUUCAGUGCCCACCGUUGAGAUAAAGGGGUCCAUACGAUCCAUGCAACAUAUGACUGCAACCGGCUGGUGGAAGGCUGUAGCAUCCCGUUGGCUUUCACAGACUUUGCACCAGCUUCCUGCUCUGGAUGGUGACUUCAAAGCCGGCGUCAGCACUCACUCCAGCAGCCAGGGCAGCCAUAGCCUGCACACAGGGGAGGGCACUGGGACCAUCCAUCCUGCAGUUGAAGGCCGACGUCUGGGGAUGCAUGACAAACUCUUGUACUGAAUGGAUGUUCCACUGAUGCUAUAGGAGAUCAUCCUCAGCACAGUGCCUGUUACCAUAUCUCCUAGGUUUUGAACACUCCAAGCUGGUCUGGAUAUGGUUUGAACGUGCAGAAAACCUCAGGGUUCGUACAACACACUUGGCCAGGACACUGGGCAGUGUCAGCCUCAUCCCAGGACACUGCUGCAAGCUUCCCAGCCUUGUGCAGAAUGUCUGAAGAUUCUUUCAAAUUUGUACAUGCUGACGUAAACAGAGCCCCUUGCUGCGGAAAUAAAACUGCAGGGAAUUUCUGGCAGUGUUUGGAAUGAUACAUAGUUUUGUGGUGACCUCUCCAUAGCAAGCACAAAGUUCUGUAUCUGCUUGGCACCAAGCAAAAUGUUUGGCAUGACUUGAAACGCCCUGAGAACCAUAGUCACCUCUUAAGGUCCUUGUCCCAACUGAUCCCUGCAGAAG